CACAUUCGCAAACUUACGAUUUACGCUCGAAAGUGGAAUUGACACUCAUAAGGUUAUUGAAAUAGUCUCUCGAAGAGUAAUAAUUGCACCGAUGCGACACGACCACCGAUAUCUCGUCGUGCUCGAGGUCUCUAAACCGUUCCCUCUGCUUCGUCACGAUUCCUGUUUUACCUGUUGCGCGUUUACUUCCUGAUUGGUUCACGCUUUGGUCCAUCUGUCGGUCUUGUCUCGUCGAUCGCGUGGUUUAGGUUAGGUUUACUGGUUUUACUUUUUAUUUAUUUUGGAAAACAGGAAAAAAGGAGAGGGAGAGAAACAAGUAUGAGUCGUAGAAUUUGGAGAAAAGAAAUUUUUAGGAAGAGACGAAAGAGAUGAAAGAAAUGUGGGUAAGUAAAUAGUGAUAGGCAGAUGGGUUGAUUGACUGACAGACAGACAGACAGACAAACAGACAGAUGGACAGCAUCGUUGCGCGAAUAUAACGAUCGAAAGAUUGACUCGCACUCGUAAAGUCUCUCUCCUCGUGAACGAAAAGGAAAUCAACAAAGUCACAGUUCUCUUAGGCCAAAGUACGUAUUUCCUACGCGCACAUCGACCGCCGAGAUCGUCGAUGAUACGUACACUGCGAUUACAAAUGAUACACAUACAAGUCUAUCCUCGAGUGGCCCGGAAAACUUAUUCGAUGGUACGAAAGUAAGUUUGAUUCUUCAAUUCCUAAUCGCGAGAAUCGCUACACACGAGCGCGCACGCAUCUGAGAAAAAACGCUAACGACAAGAUUUUCUUUUUUUUUUUUUUUUUUUUUUUUUUUUCGGGGUUUCGAGAAGCUAGCCUAGAAAAAAAAAAGGCGGGCCGAUUUCUGUUCCGAGGUUGCAAGAGGCUGGGCUAUGUACAAAAAAUGGUGUGCACAAUGGAGAGUUCGCGACGACCUCACGUCUCGGUGCGGACACGCGCGUUAAGGCCGAUAACGUGUGCCGCGAUUGUUCCUCUGUGUCGCAGAGAAUCGGCAUCGAACCAACACCGAGAGAGAGAACCAACUGUAUUAUCGACGAUAACAAUCAACAACCAACCAACUAACCAACCAACCAAUCAACCAACCAACCGUAUUCAUUGAAGUGAUCACCCACUCAAUCGACCUCGAGGUGCGAAGCAACCAAGUACAGGAGGAGGAGGAGGAGGAGGAGGCUGUCUGUCGAAUAGAUGGAGCACGUUUCACGUUACAGUAGUAGGCAAGGUUCUCUCCGCAAUUUUCCUUUUCUUUUCAAUCGACGUGACGACGACAACGUCGAUACGAAAAAGAAACUCACUUUUUUUUUCUUUUUUUUUAGGAUCCUCCUCCAUCAACUCCAACCGCCAUCGACGACGACGACGAUCAUGAUCACCACAAGAGAGAAUGCUAUUCGAUUCGAACAAUCAGGCAUUAUCGACUCGUCACAGAGGGAUCCUCCGGGCUUCUUCUUUUUCACUCGUCUCUCUUAAUCGUGUUCAACGAUUAAAUAAUAGAUCGUGGCAACGUAGCUACCUAAACUAACAAUCAGUAUGCUUCUGUACAAUGCAAAGUGAUUUGAAAUAUCGUUAAUUAUGGUUAUUCAUUAUCA
Molecule: long non-coding RNA, 1590 nt
Organism: Frieseomelitta varia
Lineage: Eukaryota; Metazoa; Arthropoda; Insecta; Hymenoptera; Apidae
Exons: 2
Source: RefSeq, a predicted model, not a curated record